AGUAACACGUGGGUGACCUGCCCUUAGCUCUGGGAUAAGCCUGGGGAAACUGGGUCUAAUACCGGAUAUGACCUCAUGACGCAUGUUGUGGGGUGGAAAGCCUUGUGCGGCUAGGGAUGGGCCCGCGGCCUAUCAGCUUGUUGGUGGAGUGAUGGCCUACCAAGGCGACGACGGGUAGCCGGCCUGAGAGGGCGACCGGCCACACUGGGACUGAGACACGGCCCAG
This 226-nucleotide ribosomal RNA is filed under the name uncultured bacterium. RNAcentral's name for it is "partial 16S ribosomal RNA". It matches the Rfam family "Bacterial small subunit ribosomal RNA", at positions 109 to 334 of the family's 1533-position model. The record is from RNAcentral.